GGGCUGGAAAGGUCUGGUGUGGUGUACGGUGGACUGGGAUGGGCUGGGGUAGGAUGGCUCUGGAACGCCAGAGUGAGGAGUCAAGGGUGAUGACAGGAAGAGAACAGAAAAGGAAAAGAGGAGGGGGAGUGGAGGAGGACAGGGUAGAGUAGUCAAUCGACAGAGAGGCGGAUUGGAACAACCGCCCCCCAGCCACUCCACCCUGUACAUCCCACUCACCCACCCCCUUUUGUCGGGACGCUCAGCACUUGACAGGCUAUUUUUUGCCACGCUUCACUAAAUAAGGCCAGGCAGCGUCGGGGUGCAGGCGGGCCGGUCAGGGGGGCGCAUGUCUGCCGUUCCUACCUGGGUAUAUAAGCCCCUGGACGGUGGGGGGUUACUCCGAUCACGCUGCCCUUCCAUUCUCUCCCAGAGAUGGUCCGUCGCGUUCUGAAGUCCACCUUUCCACUUUUCAUUUCAAAAUCAAUGCUUAUGUCUUCAUCCACUCCUCCAGAGCAUCGUCAGCUGACAGGCUCCCAGGGAACAGACAGACACUCUGCCUGCAGCAGCCACACCGCACGGGCCGCCGCCCCGCCAGAUCACCCUGAUACCGGACUCUGAAGCUGUCCCACCUCCUCAGACCAUACUGUAGGACUUCACACCAAAAAUGCUUUGCUAAAGCUGGUAAAAUGGAACCAAAUCAACUGUUCAAUGGAUUUGGUCCCCUUCAACCAGCUGUAGCUGUGCAUUGAUCACUCCGGAUCACUGAAGAGUGGGACCAAGAAUGGUUGACAGACACACCAAGACUCCAUCUGACUCACUGACCUGAGAACAGGGCUCACCAGAGGGAAUCUGGCAGAGACACUGUGUCAGGAAUGGACACACUGAUCCAGGAGCAGAAAAGCCCAACUGAACCUUCAGACCACAACUGGGUAGGCUGCAAGUAGGAAUGAAUAUUUUGUACACCAGAAGGGAUAUAGAUUUUUUUGCAAUAAAAAAUAGUCCAGGUAAUUACUUAUUUAGUGAGUCAGCGUUUUUGCCAUAACUAUGUAUUGUAAUGUUUUACAGUCGAUAUUGUUGCUAUCCUUUGUAACUGACUGUACUGGAAGGGAAAGGAGAAGGGGGAUGUGGGGUUGGUAAAUAAGUGAAGCAAACGGUUGUCUCUCUCUCUUUGACUCUUAAUGCAGACGUCUGAUCAAUAAAAACCCAUCCUGAAGUCCA
RNAcentral lists this long non-coding RNA (1200 nucleotides) under Salmo salar (Atlantic salmon). RNAcentral describes it as "lncRNA (ENSSSAG00000121443.1)". The stretch from base 652 to 723 matches the Rfam family "mir-133 microRNA precursor family". The record is from RNAcentral. Lineage: Eukaryota; Metazoa; Chordata; Actinopteri; Salmoniformes; Salmonidae.